This 1915-nucleotide long non-coding RNA is filed under the name Carica papaya (papaya). RNAcentral's name for it is "long non-coding RNA (CPAP_LNC008235)". Lineage: Eukaryota; Viridiplantae; Streptophyta; Magnoliopsida; Brassicales; Caricaceae. The record is from RNAcentral.
UUUAGCUUCAACAAUUGAUUCCCACAACAUCCUUAAAUAGUAACUAAAGCAUAAGGAUACCAGAUAUAAUAAUAGACAUGAAUGCAUUUAAAAUAAUUAUAUGCAGCGGAAUAAAAAUAUAUUACAAUCCCUUAUAAAAUAAAAUUUGAGUUCCAAAUCUUAUAAUAUUGAGGCGAAAUAAAAGAAAAUACAAGCUUCUUCAAAAGUUAGAUUCAUUAGAGUGUAAAACAAAAUAUGCACUCGUAAUGGUUAGAUAAUCCACGGGAUCCUCAUAACCUUCAAUUGAUGAGUCAACAAGCGGUUCCUCAUUAUCGUCCUCAUCUAGGAAGGCAUUCAAAAUAGUGAGUUCCAUAUAUUCAGUAAAAAAAAAUAGUAUUUAAGUGACAUUACUAAGAUUUUAAAAGUAAUUAACUUAAAAAUAAUACCUUAUCCGCUUACCAUCGGGGAAUGUGCACGUGCAAUUAUUUCAAUAAUAAAGAAAAUAUUUUAUUUUAUUUAGAAAAAUAUCAACAUCAAGUCAAUCACAUCAAACAUAUAAUCAUGUUAUGUAUAUAAUAGAGAAAAUCAAAUAAAUCAUAUCAUAUCAUGUUUUCUUUUUACUUAUUCUUGGCACGAAGCCGUUCCGACCUCUAUUUACUGAGGGCAGUACAAAUUCUCGACUAUCAUUGUAUAAUGACAAAUUCAUUUCAUAUCAUUUUCAGUAUAUUUAUGGCUUGUUAAACUACAAUAUAUUUACGACUUACCAAAACAUGACACGUACUAUGACCACGGCCGUGCCAACCAUAGUGGUCCUACAUGUAAACUAUACUCACAGUCAUAUGUCGCCAAAUGUCAUUCUUACAAUCAUAUCGUGUCACCACUCUCAUCAGAGCGCACGCCAUCAUCCACAAAGAGUGGUCAUCUCACGUCUUUUCAUUCUAGAUAGGGAAAAAACAGAACUCCUCAGAGAUAAAAAACUUAAUGGAUCAUGUUAAUUUAGAUACCAUGCAUGCAAACACCAAUAUUCAUUCCAGAACAGAAAAGACUAAUGAUCAUGAGCAUACUUUACCACUGUGGCCCCUACAGUCAAUCACGAAUCCACUCUCAUUAGAGGGAAUGCCAUUACUAUUCACGAGGAGUGGUUCAUCGACAGAUCCAAAUAUAGAUAGAAAUACAGAAACAAAAGACCCCCAUGAUAAUGGUCAAACAGAUUUUCAAUUUUUUCCUCUUUUUUUACUGAUUUUGAUUCACAAAUAAUCAUGAAUUUGGAACUCGACGGGGGUCCAAUCAACAUAUCUUGGCCUAAAGAGGCCUUUACACUUAUAUUUCGCCAUCGGUUCAUCUUCUCCACUAUCACCUAAGGGUAAAGUAGAGCACCAAAUUCGCACAUGCAUCAUCUAUCAUCGAAGUUCGAUUAAACAUGUAUUUUCAUUUUUAAAAAAACAUACAAACAUAUAUAUCCACUCGUAUCAUAUAGUUGAUAAAAAAUGUUUAAUUUCAUGCAUCAAGACAAAUCAAAAGUCAUACAUCAAUUAUCUGAAAUUUGUUUAGAAGUGUACGAGAAAAAACUAAAAACUCUGUAACGGCCCCAGAAAUAUUAGAAAGAAAUGAGUAUUUAAAUAUAUCAAAUGCGGAAGCGAGAUCAAAAUUUCAGUUAACAUCCCUUACACGAAAGACCAGAAACGUACUUAAAAUAUAAAAGGUUAAACUAACUAAGAAAGAAAACUCGAAAAUAAACUAUGCGUAUGACUACAGAGUCUCUAGGCAUCUCCUUCGUCGUCCUCCUGCGGAACGGGCUCGGGAACCAUGUCUUCCUGAUCUGAAAUGGUUAAUUAAGGAGUGAGCUACACUAGCCCAGUAAGAACAUCACGAUAUCUCACCGUCACGGAGAUAAAGGUGGGUAGAAAAACACAAAAAGACCAAUGGAGCAUAAUUU